Bombus pyrosoma is the source of this 2208-nucleotide long non-coding RNA. RefSeq lists it as uncharacterized. The record is from RefSeq and is a predicted model, not a curated record. The transcript has 3 exons. Lineage: Eukaryota; Metazoa; Arthropoda; Insecta; Hymenoptera; Apidae.
ACACCGGCACGAGGCUAAUGAUGAUUCUAUAAUUCUGCCCUGAGUAACGGAGCCUCCAUACCAAAAUGGCGACCGCCUGCAGACCCGUGCACGUUUCUUUACAUCGAUACCGUUGACUAUCGCGAUAAGAAAACCUGUCGUGCCAAGUGAGUGCUACCCUCCACGUUGGCAUCCUAUCUACAGUGAUCGAAACUUUUCGUUCAAAAGUUGGGGUGUCGGUCGGAUGUUGUGAAGUGGAGGAUCAUUGUGUAUAAAAUAGAGGAAGUGAUGACUCUGCCGUGGUAUAAUUUCACGUAAUUCGUUUAGAAGAUGACAUUACAAGAUGAGAGUGUAAAAGUCGCAAUUAGGUUUCCCUUGUUAUCGAUGUUAUCGAGGCGAAAAGAUAGGGACAUGAAUAUAAUUUCGGACAAUUCCUGGUAAAUUCCUAUUUAUGGUGUAAAUCGUCCUUGGUUAAAUCUCUCAACCGUUGCAUGUGGAUUUCUGUAAGCCCAAAUCCUGGCAUUUUGUCGAUCGAGGAUACUGCAAUUUGAGAAACUACCUUUAUCCGUAAAUAUUACACGUUCGAAAAAAUGUGAAUCGUGUUACAACUUAUGUAGCAUUCAAUAUCAGAUACUCCGUCGAGUACCAUACUGGUUGGAUCUAUCAUGUGAUUGAUUUUCAUUUGAACAAUCUGUUCUUCUUUAAUUUAUGCAGGGUCGAUCUGCAAUCAGACGUCGCAAUAUUAAUUCAUGAUCAAUAUUCUUAUAUAUUUUACGAGCUAAUCUCUAAUUUCCUGUUGCUUCGUAAAUAGUACGCUACUCUCUCAUUAAAUGUGAAAUAUAAACAUAUUAUGGAUAAAUCCAGUCUAAGAAUUAUUAAAACUUUAACAUUCUUUUCCGGGAGACGAAGUCACUUGCGACCUAUGGUUCCUUUGCAACUUUUGUUAAUAACUUUGAUCAUGUUAAUAACCUUAUAAAAUAAAUUUGUUGCAAUAAAAAAAUGUUGAUUUUAAAAAUCAUGUUCAAGAUUAGGUUUGCACGAACUUUUUUUUACAAAUGUCCAUCGAUCCAGAGGUGCAGAAUCGUGUAGAAUCAUGCUACGGUGGUUUUUAUACCUACAUUUUAUACAUCUUGCACUGACAAUCUGUUCACAUUACUAACUAUAGUGGGUCACAAAAGUAUUCGUACACUUGUCGACACUUUUUCUCGACCUAUUAUGUGUGUUGUAUAAAACAUUUUGAAAUUGAUACGGCAGCCAAUUAUCAUGAUUAUAUUGGAGAAUAAACGAUUCUGAAAAUGUAUAAAGUAGUUAUAAUUGCAUAAAGGUAUUUAGUAUAAGUAUACAUUUUGCAGACAGGACAAAAGAAUUUAAACAGGCAGUCAUUUACAAUAAGUCUGAAUAUUCGGUAGGUAUUCAUACUACUCAGUAUUAUUUCAUAUUUGACACCUAUUAUAUGCUUCAGGUAAUUAUUCAUACUGUUUACCGAUUUUUCACGAAAUAUGAAUUUGUAGUAAAUAUCUUGUAAUUGUAAUAUAUAUUUAUAAUAUAUAUGUAAAUUUUAUAGAAUUUAGAAUACCAACUGACGGGUUCACUUUCCUUGUGUUUACUGGGAGUCGGUCGAACAAUAUAAAUAGAGAAGGACGGGGACUUAGGAGAGAGAACAAAACAGGAUUUCAAGAAGCGAAGAUUGAACAAAGAAGAAAGGCAAGUUAAGAGUUAGAAGGAGAAAGAGAAGAGGGAUUAGAACCAGAGAGUUUUCAGGAGAUACGGAAGAAGACUUAGAAAAUCGAUUCUUGAGUUUUCACGAAUCGAUCGCCUGAUGUUCAAAAAUAUUACACCAUUACAUAUAUAUAUUUUUCAAUUCAAAUUAUAUCUGAUAUAAUGUAUCAUUAUAGUGCUAAUGAAAUUUCAACAUGUUUUAUAUAACAGGGAGAAAAUACACAUAACGAUUCUCUAUUUUAACUAUACGAAUCCUUUGUACUGUAAAUAUAUCGCCACACAAUGGUCCGGGAACCGAAAUAUGGAGGUCAAGAUUAAAAACUGUUAUGUUUUGCAGGCAAGUAGUCUUCUAAUCAAACACUUUCGGGUGCGUUGCUGCACGACGGUUGGUCCAGUUGAUAAGAGAUGCUGCCUUCUCGAUUUUCUCAACGCCAUUGCUGCUUAGACGCCGUGCUAUUUGAUUACCUUUUGCUGCUCCCUCGUCUUUCUCGAGAAAAUUACUCAUGCUGA